CCUACGGGGUGCUGCAGUGGGGAAUAUUGGACAAUGGGCGAAAGCCUGAUCCAGCCAUGCCGCGUGUGUGAAGAAGGCCUUCGGGUUGUAAAGCACUUUCAGUGGGGAAGAAAGCCUUGGGGCUAAUACCCUCGAGGAAGGACAUCACCCACAGAAGAAGCACCGGCUAACUCCGUGCCAGCAGCCGCGGUAAUACGGAGGGUGCGAGCGUUAAUCGGAAUUACUGGGCGUAAAGCGCGCGUAGGCGGUCUGAUAAGCCGGUUGUGAAAGCCCCGGGCUCAACCUGGGAACGGCAUCCGGAACUGUCAGGCUAGAGUGCAGGAGAGGAAGGUAGAAUUCCCGGUGUAGCGGUGAAAUGCGUAGAGAUCAGGAGGAAUACCAGUGGCGAAGGCGGCCUUCUGGACUGACACUGACGCUGAGGUGCGAAAGCGUGGGUAGCAAACAGGAUUAGAUACCCUAGUAGUC
This 465-nucleotide ribosomal RNA is filed under the name Vreelandella stevensii. Its description in RNAcentral is "partial 16S ribosomal RNA". It matches the Rfam family "Bacterial small subunit ribosomal RNA", at positions 338 to 795 of the family's 1533-position model. Lineage: Bacteria; Pseudomonadati; Pseudomonadota; Gammaproteobacteria; Oceanospirillales; Halomonadaceae. The record is from RNAcentral.